UCUGGGAUAACUCAAGGGUAGAGUGCCUGUCUGUUAAACAGGAAGUUCAGAAUUCAAAUCUCUGUCCCAGAGCCA
RNAcentral lists this transfer RNA (75 nucleotides) under Acidobacteriota bacterium. RNAcentral's name for it is "tRNA-Asn". It matches the Rfam family "tRNA". From Rfam's summary of the family: Transfer RNA (tRNA) molecules are approximately 80 nucleotides in length. Their secondary structure includes four short double-helical elements and three loops (D, anti-codon, and T loops). Lineage: Bacteria; Pseudomonadati; Acidobacteriota. The record is from RNAcentral.